Molecule: non-coding RNA, 270 nt
Filed under: Parageobacillus caldoxylosilyticus
Lineage: Bacteria; Bacillati; Bacillota; Bacilli; Caryophanales; Anoxybacillaceae
Description: Geobacillus caldoxylosilyticus T-box sequence
Rfam family: T-box leader
About the family: Uncharged tRNA acts as the effector for transcription antitermination of genes in the T-box leader family. T-boxes are found upstream of many aminoacyl-tRNA synthetase genes and some amino acid biosynthetic genes usually in Gram-positive bacteria.
Source: RNAcentral
GAAAAAGCGUUGAAGAGGAUAAGUAGUCAGCGGGGACAACAUCCACAGAGAGCCGGGGGAGCUGGAAACCGGUGAUGUUGCCGCUUGAUGAACUCACCUCUGAGUGCCAGCCUGAACGUCAUGCGACUAGUAGGGUUGGACGGGUGGGGCAGCAUUUGCUUCACUCGUUAUUAAAAAGAGCAAUUGGAUGCUUUCCAAUUGCUCCUGAGGUGGUCGGUAUGACCACGAAGAAGGGUGGUACCGCGGAAAGGAAACCUUUUCGCCCCUUUG